Molecule: long non-coding RNA, 4417 nt
Filed under: Homo sapiens (human)
Lineage: Eukaryota; Metazoa; Chordata; Mammalia; Primates; Hominidae
Description: HSALNT0022658
Source: RNAcentral
CUCUCAGACACCACAGUCCAGGAGAGUCUGACAAGGUGGCUUUAUUCCUGAAACUCAGGGACCUGAUCCAACGCGCUGGAAAUUGUGUUUCUUUUCCCAGCUCAGGCUAUUCACCUCAGGCCCCUGUUUUCCUGUCUCCUCCCCAGGAAGGUUGUGAUAAAAAUCAAUGACAUCAUGUCUCACUGGGCCCCAGCCACCCUUCAGGAAGCAGGUGCUUUGGCUGAGUGGAGGCUGGGGCAUUUUUCUGCUGCGCUGGCCUGCAUCUGCCUUUCGAGUAGCCCUAGAGGCCUAACGCUUGAGGUCACCUUCAUGGUUUUUCCAGUGACCUUGGCCAUUAAUGAGCUCCCACCGCUUCCCCAGCUGCAGCUGUAUUAUAGCGCCAGAGUCUUCCAAGCCUGCAGGUUGUGCCAAGCCUGGAGGGAUUUGCAAAAGAAACAUUUGCCUACACCAAGAUCAUGAAGAUGUUUUCUUCUAGAGGAUUUCUAGUUUUAGCUCUUUAUGUUUAAAUUGAGGGAAACUAAAUGUAUGGCCUUAAGGAGCUGUUCCAGCCUGAGACUAUACACCAGCAGAAAGAAACUCACAGCACUGAAAAUAUUGUUCUCCGCCCUCCCUCAUCCCUCUUCCUUCUGAAUGGGAAAAAAGAGUAAGAAGCUUUUCCCUCCAGCUGAAAGCAAAGGAGUACUCUAGCCCUCUGUGAUAGCUGAUGGCAGCAUCUUUGGUGGCUCUCCCAGAGAGGCUGCUCUCUUUGCUGGAAUUUGCCUUGUUCUCUCCUCACUGCUGAAGCACUGUCACUGCGUCCUAAAAAAACACCACAGUAUCCGUAAGACGUUGCCUGUCAUUGGAGGUUUGCUCCUUCUCUCUAUCUCAGACAGGAUUCAAUGAAGAAAACAGAAGCCACUCAGCGCAAGAACAGACUCAUACAGGAUCACUGCAUGUGGAAUCAGGUAAGACAAGGUCAUACUGGAGUAGGAAAGGGGUUAAUCCAAUAUGACUGGUGUCCUUAAAAAAUGGGAAAUUCAUCGAGGGCAGAUUGGAUAAAGGAAAUGUUGUACAUAUACACUAUGGAAUACUUCACAGCUAUAAAAAAGGAGAAGAUUAUGUCCUUUGCAGGUACAGGAAUGGAGCUAGAGGUCAUCAUCCUUAGCAAACUAAUGCAGGAACAGAAAACCAAAUGCCACAUGUUCUCACUUAUAAGUUGAAGGUAAAUAAUGAGAACACGUGGACACAUAGAGGGGAAUAGCACACACUGGGGCCUACUUGAGGGUAGAAGGUGGGAGGAAGGAGAGGAUCAGAAAAAACGAUUGGUUACUAGGCUUACUACCUGGUUGAUGAAAUAAUCUGUACAGCAAACCCCAGUAUCAAGAGUUUACCUAUAUAACAAAACUGCACAUGUACCCCUGAACCUAAAAUAAAAGCUUUUUAUAAAAAGAAAAGAAAAAGGGCUGGGCAUGAUGGCUCACACCUGUAAUCCCAGGACUUUAGGACACCCAGGUGGGUGGACUGCUAAGCUCAGGAGUUCAAGACCAGCCUAGGCAACAUUGCGAAACCCCGUCUCUACAAAAAUUAGCCAGGCAUGGUGGCAUGUACCUGAAGUCCCAUCUACUUGCAGGGCUGAGGCCAGAGGAUCGCUUGAACCCAGGAGGUGGAGAUUGUAGUGAGUUGUAUUUGUGCCACUGCACUCCAGCCUCGUUGACAGAGCAAGGGCAAGACCUUUUCUUUAAAAAAAAAAAAAGAAAGAAAGAAAAGAAAAAGAAAAGACAAGAAAAGAAAAGAAAAGGAUAUAAUCAGCCAAAUUCAAAAUGUGUGAAAUGCUACAAGCUUCCAGGACUGUGAAACAAGACAUUUCUUUGGUUCAAGCCACUCCCUUAGUGCACAUUGUUAUGGCAGCCAUGGAAAACCAUCCACAGAGGGUCAGUUCCUAUGGAGGUGGGCAUUCUGUUCCAUCCCUGUCACUUCGAUGUCUCUCUUUCUUGAAUAUGGAAGCAGCCCUGGGCCCAGCUGCUGCAGGUGGCCAGGAAGGAGCCUGGGAGGAUGACGGGGUUCCUGAUCUGAUAGAACUGGGCUGUGACUAGGCAGAACCCUGUUCCACCACACACACCCCAGUGGAGGUCAGUACCCCAAAUCUGACACCAGGAUGUAGCAUGUCCAUGGAGUCUGUCUGCUGACACCUGUCCCACCCUCCCCUGGCCCGUAACUUUGAGAGAUACUGCAAUUCCUACCGAUGUUGCUGCCAUCCUUUAUUCAGCCCAUUAUCAGAAGUUAUGACACAUUGCAAAAUGCUCAGGCUAGUUGAAUUUCUGCAACAGGGCAAGGCGGUUAAAUCCUGUCCUUCCUGGAGUCUCAUUGACCAGGCUUUGAAUCCCAAUUCUACCAUGGAUUAGAUUUGCAACUUUGGCAAAUUGAUGAACUCUUCUGAGCUUUGGACUAAUAAUAGGGUUUUGUGAGGAAUACCUGAGAUAAUGCAUGUACAACACCUUGCAUGUUGUUUAGCACCUACUAGAAAUGCAACCAACUCUAGCUGUUAUCGCUAGUUUUUCUCUUGCUCCAUCUCCAUUCCUGAGAUGUGCAUGGCUACUCUGUGUUUGUUGUUGGGAAGAGCCGUAGACAGUCGUAUCCUCUUCCUGAGAAUGGUAACUGAGCUGCCCCCUUGGGACUGUCCAGGGGCUGGCCAUUAGCCCCACGAGGCAGCAACAAAACCAACAAGACAAGUCUGUUUACUCUUCUGGUCUAUAAUUUAAAAUGUGUUUGAUGCUACUUUUUUUUUUUCUUUUUAGGACGUUCUGUAUCUGUGAUGAAUGACCCCUGCAUACAUUAUAUCUUUCAGUAAAAACAGUGGUGUUUCAGUAGUGUUACUAGCUAAGCUGCUUAACUCUCACAUUACAGACGUCAGUGAAGCCCCUUGGUAGGUAGUGUCUAAAAUUAGAUUUAUCUGCUUAUUUACACAAUUAUACUCUCAUGAGUUUGAAUGUUGGGGAAAGAUCAAGAAAAAGACCAGAUCACUAGAUGGCAAUAGCACACAAGAGCUUUAUUUGGAUGAAGCUUGGACAGAAUGCAUGGAAGGGGAAAGUCCCUUGCAGCAGAAGACCUUCCAGAGGCAGUGGCAGGGCCACCACCAGAAGAAAAGGGCAAGGACACUCCCAGGGGAGAGGAGGAUCAGAGAGGAGGUUACAGGUCUAAGAGAUGUCACAGGUCUAGAAGAAAAGAAAAGGAGCCAGGUGCAGUGGCUCACACCUGUAAUCCCAGCACUUUGGGAGGCCCAGGCGGGCAGAUUGCUGAGUUCAGGAGUUUGAGACCAGCCUAGGCAAACAUGGUGAAACCCCAUCUCUAAAAAAAGAUUUAAAAAUUAACCAGGCCUGGUGGCAUGUACCUGAAGUCUCAUUUACUUGGGGGGCUAAGGCUGGAGGAUCGUUUGAACCCAAGAGGGUUCAUGGUGGGGAGCAUCAUGGUGAGGAGUCUCUGGGUCAGAGAGCUCCAAAGGACAGCAGCCAUUUGGGGUCUUUUGUAGCCCUGAGGUUCGUCUUACCUAUGGUGAGAGGGUGUCGGGUGUAGUUUUGCAAAUUAUCGAAGCAGGCAGGCUCUAAAUGGGCAAAUAAUAUUUGGCCUACAUUUAAAGCAAUUGGAUGUGCAAGAAUUUGAGUUUGGUGCUGGCAGGCUUGAGUUAACGGUCCUGGGCUGUGGUGUGGAAGUAAACAGCAUGGGGGCCAAUACACAGGGGCUGUCUUGAACUCGUUCAUACAAUCCAUUUAUAACCUGUUUAUAACUUGUUUAUAACCCAUUUAUACCACAUACCCCUAAAGCAAAUACCUAGCAGAUAGCAUGCAGGGCCUAUUUGCCUGGCCUCCUUCAAUGGCAUCACAUUCUCCACCACCACGAUGGUUAAUAUGGACGAGCCCUAGCAGCUGCCCAGUGAAGUCCACACGCUACUGCCCAAACCAGCUCAAGUCCUUAGUUGUCAUGAAAAUAAUGUGAGUUCCCACAGCCGUAAAAGGGAAAGCAGCAAGAGCCACAUGAGCAUCCCCGGAACCCUGGGAACAGUCAUCAGUGUCAUCUUCAGGGUCAUGUCCCUACAAGCAGUUCUCAGGCUCCUGCUGAGGGUCAGAACAGAGCCGAAGUCACAGGAUAUCAAAAAUGGAUAAGCCCAACCUCAGCUCGCAGAGGAAUUGCUCAGCUGACAGAUGAUUGUGUUAUCUCAGUGAAGCCAGAUGACAAUGUACUUGGCCAACGGAACAUCUUGGUCAAUGGAUCUCCAAGUUGGUUAUAAAAUUAAAGCAAAAUAAUGCCAUUAUAUGUAAGAUGUCAUUGAUUGUAAGAUGCUCCUUUAUUUGAUGUACCACUAAUAAAUAAAAACACUGACAUUUAAACAAUGACAAUUGCAUAACACAUCUGCUUGUUCAAUGUUAAAUAUGAAAAAAUGUGC